RNAcentral lists this ribosomal RNA (534 nucleotides) under uncultured bacterium. Its description in RNAcentral is "bacterial SSU rRNA". It matches the Rfam family "Bacterial small subunit ribosomal RNA", at positions 60 to 591 of the family's 1533-position model. The record is from RNAcentral.
AGUCGAACGGCAGCGCGGGGCAACCUGGCGGCGAGUGGCGAACGGGUGAGUAAUAUAUCGGAACGUACCCUGGAGUGGGGGAUAACGUAGCGAAAGUUACGCUAAUACCGCAUACGAUCUAAGGAUGAAAGUGGGGGAUCGCAAGACCUCAUGCUCGUGGAGCGGCCGAUAUCUGAUUAGCUAGUUGGUAGGGUAAAAGCCUACCAAGGCAUCGAUCAGUAGCUGGUCUGAGAGGACGACCAGCCACACUGGAACUGAGACACGGUCCAGACUCCUACGGGAGGCAGCAGUGGGGAAUUUUGGACAAUGGGCGCAAGCCUGAUCCAGCAAUGCCGCGUGAGUGAAGAAGGCCUUCGGGUUGUAAAGCUCUUUUGUCAGGGAAGAAAAGGGUGCGGCUAAUAUCUGCGCCUCAUGACGGUACCUGAAGAAUAAGCACCGGCUAACUACGUGCCAGCAGCCGCGGUAAUACGUAGGGUGCAAGCGUUAAUCGGAAUUACUGGGCGUAAAGCGUGCGCAGGCGGUUUUGUAAGACUG